This 464-nucleotide ribosomal RNA is filed under the name Vreelandella stevensii. RNAcentral's name for it is "partial 16S ribosomal RNA". It matches the Rfam family "Bacterial small subunit ribosomal RNA", at positions 338 to 794 of the family's 1533-position model. The record is from RNAcentral. Lineage: Bacteria; Pseudomonadati; Pseudomonadota; Gammaproteobacteria; Oceanospirillales; Halomonadaceae.
CCUACGGGGCGCUGCAGUGGGGAAUAUUGGACAAUGGGCGAAAGCCUGAUCCAGCCAUGCCGCGUGUGUGAAGAAGGCCUUCGGGUUGUAAAGCACUUUCAGUGGGGAAGAAAGCCUUGGGGCUAAUACCCUCGAGGAAGGACAUCACCCACAGAAGAAGCACCGGCUAACUCCGUGCCAGCAGCCGCGGUAAUACGGAGGGUGCGAGCGUUAAUCGGAAUUACUGGGCGUAAAGCGCGCGUAGGCGGUCUGAUAAGCCGGUUGUGAAAGCCCCGGGCUCAACCUGGGAACGGCAUCCGGAACUGUCAGGCUAGAGUGCAGGAGAGGAAGGUAGAAUUCCCGGUGUAGCGGUGAAAUGCGUAGAGAUCGGGAGGAAUACCAGUGGCGAAGGCGGCCUUCUGGACUGACACUGACGCUGAGGUGCGAAAGCGUGGGUAGCAAACAGGAUUAGAUACCCGAGUAGU